Molecule: long non-coding RNA, 1506 nt
Filed under: Ananas comosus (pineapple)
Lineage: Eukaryota; Viridiplantae; Streptophyta; Magnoliopsida; Poales; Bromeliaceae
Description: long non-coding RNA (ACOM_LNC025202)
Source: RNAcentral
AUUUUAUUCAAUGCUAAGUAAAUAUAGUUUUAAAUAUAAAUAUUAAAAAUAAAAAUAUGACGGAUUUGAAUACAGUUAUGAAUUUUGAUUGUAUACGAUCCGAACCGGAAUCCGACUUAAAUUCAAAAUUAUUUUACAUUAUAUAAUAUAUAUAUAUAUAUAUAAAAUAUUAUAUUUAAAUUUGUAUUUUAAAAAUUUAGAUUUAAUAUAAUAUAUUUUGAAAUAUUGUAAAGAUAAAUGGAUUCUAAUUUUCGGGUUCGGGCUCGGAUUUGGGUUUUGAAUUUUUGGUCGGAUAUGGGUUUGAAUAUGAAUUUUUAAAAUCCACUAGGUUCAGGUUCGGAUUCGAAUUCGAAUUCGAAUUUUGGAUUGGGUAAUCGGAUUCGGGUUCGGAUUUUUGAAAAUCUGCCCUAAAUCAGAACGNCUCUUUGUUCGAUGGGUUAAGUCAAGCUGAGAGAGCGGGACAAAGAGCGGAGAAAAAAACAAUCCAUACACUACUGGAUUUAGGAAUUUCACUGGAUACAGAUACUCAAAAUUUAAAUUUUAUCCGAAUUUGAAUUCGAACAGAGUAAUUUUAUUCAAUGCUAAAUAAAUAUAGUUUUAAAUAUAAAUAUUAAAAAUAAAAAUACGACGGAUUUGAAUACAGUUAUGAAUUUUGAUUGUAUCCGAUCCGAACCGGAAUCCGACUCAAAUUCAAAAUUAUUUUACAUUAUAUAUAUUUAUAUAUAUAUAUAUAUAUAAUAUUAUAUUUGAAUUUGUAUUUUAAAAAUUUAGAUUUAACAUAAUAUAUUUUGAAAUAUUGUAAAGAUAAAUGGAUUCUAAUUUUCAGGUUCGGACUCGGAUUUGGGUUUUGGAUUUUUGGUCGGAUAUGGGUUUGAAUAUGAAUUUUUAAAAUCCACUAGGUUCAGGUUCGGAUUCGAAUUCGAAUUCGAAUUCGAAUUUUGGAUUGGGUAAUCGGAUUCGGGUUCGGAUUUUUGAAAAUCUUCCCUAAAUCGGACCAGUUGACAUNAUUCGAAUUCGAAUUCGAAUUUUGGAUUGGGUAAUCGGAUUCGGGUUCGGAUUUUUGAAAAUCUGCCCUAAAUCAGAAAAAAAAAAAAAAAAAAAAAAAAGGUUUAGAAUAUGAUAUUUACAUUGUUGAUAUGAUAUUUUUUGUCAAUCAAAUUGUGCAUUUAAAAUAUAUCCAUCUUACCAUAAUUUUUUUUAAAAUAUUUUUAUUAUAUUAUUAUUCUAAAAAAAAAAAGAUAUAUAAUUGGCUGACUAUAAAUGAUAUGGUGGGUCUGUCAUAUAUAAACUACUUCUAGAUCGGAUAUUCAUCUUAUACUAUAAAUUUCAAAAUUUAUUUUUUAAAAAUUUUUUAAUAAAAGUAAAAAAAUAAUAAUAAAACAAGUGGGUGAAUAUAUAUAGGUCAUUUCUAUACUUAAANACUAGGUUCAGGUUCGGAUUCGAAUUCGAAUUCGAAUUUUGGAUUGGGUAAUCGGAUUCGGGUUCGGAUUUUUGAAAAUCUGCCCU